CCCUACACAUGCAGUCGAACGGUAACAGGAAGCAGCUUGCUGCUUCGCUGACGAGUGGCGGACGGGUGAGUAAUGUCUGGGAAACUGCCUGAUGGAGGGGGAUAACUACUGGAAACGGUAGCUAAUACCGCAUAAUGUCGCAAGACCAAAGAGGGGGACCUUCGGGCCUCUUGCCAUCGGAUGUGCCCAGAUGGGAUUAGCUAGUAGGUGGGGUAACGGCUCACCUAGGCGACGAUCCCUAGCUGGUCUGAGAGGAUGACCAGCCACACUGGAACUGAGACACGGUCCAGACUCCUACGGGAGGCAGCAGUGGGGAAUAUUGCACAAUGGGCGCAAGCCUGAUGCAGCCAUGCCGCGUGUGUGAAGAAGGCCUUCGGGUUGUAAAGCACUUUCAGCGGGGAGGAAGGCGGUAAGGUUAAUAACCUUGCCGAUUGACGUUACCCGCAGAAGAAGCACCGGCUAACUCCGUGCCAGCAGCCGCGGUAAUACGGAGGGUGCAAGCGUUAAUCGGAAUUACUGGGCGUAAAGCGCACGCAGGCGGUCUGUCAAGUCGGAUGUGAAAUCCCCGGGCUCAACCUGGGAACUGCAUUCGAAACUGGCAGGCUAGAGUCUUGUAGAGGGGGGUAGAAUUCCAGGUGUAGCGGUGAAAUGCGUAGAGAUCUGGAGGAAUACCGGUGGCGAAGGCGGCCCCCUGGACAAAGACUGACGCUCAGGUGCGAAAGCGUGGGGAGCAAACAGGAUUAGAUACCCUGGUAGUCCACGCCGUAAACGAUGUCGACUUGGAGGUUGUGCCCUUGAGGCGUGGCUUCCGGAGCUAACGCGUUAAGUCGACCGCCUGGGGAGUACGGCCGCAAGGUUAAAACUCAAAUGAAUUGACGGGGGCCCGCACAAGCGGUGGAGCAUGUGGUUUAAUUCGAUGCAACGCGAAGAACCUUACCUACUCUUGACAUCCAGAGAACUUAGCAGAGAUGGAUUGUGCCUUCGGGAACUCUGAGACAGGUGCUGCAUGGCUGUCGUCAGCUCGUGUUGUGAAAUGUUGGGUUAAGUCCCGCAACGAGCGCAACCCUUAUCCUUUGUUGCCAGCGGUCCGGCCGGGAACUCAAAGGAGACUGCCAGUGAUAAACUGGAGGAAGGUGGGGAUGACGUCAAGUCAUCAUGGCCCUUACGAGUAGGGCUACACACGUGCUACAAUGGCGCAUACAAAGAGAAGCGACCUCGCGAGAGCAAGCGGACCUCAUAAAGUGCGUCGUAGUCCGGAUUGGAGUCUGCAACUCGACUCCAUGAAGUCGGAAUCGCUAGUAAUCGUAGAUCAGAAUGCUACGGUGAAUACGUUCCCGGGCCUUGUACACACCGCCCGUCACACCAUGGGAGUGGGUUGCAAAAGAAGUAGGUAGCUUAACCUU
This 1403-nucleotide ribosomal RNA is filed under the name Enterobacter sp. RNAcentral's name for it is "bacterial SSU rRNA". It matches the Rfam family "Bacterial small subunit ribosomal RNA". The record is from RNAcentral. Lineage: Bacteria; Pseudomonadati; Pseudomonadota; Gammaproteobacteria; Enterobacterales; Enterobacteriaceae.